GUAACAAGGUUUCCGUAGGUGAACCUGCGGAAGGAUCAUUGAAUCUAUCAAUACCAACACCUGUGAACCAUGUUGUCCGGUCUGCUGGGCAGGCUUCAUUGCCUGUCUGGUGCGGUCUGCGGAAAGUGUGCACUUGUGCGCAGGAUCUGUGGACUGGGUUUGCUGGCCACACUACUCUCGUAGUAGCUUGUUGCCAGUGGGCUGGCCCCUCUUUACUAACCACAACACCAAACCAAAACAACUAAAGCUAAAGAUGUGCAGCUGGCCUGGCCACUGCAUCCUAACUGAGACAACUCUCAACAACGGAUAUCUUGGCUCUCGCAACGAUGAAGAACGCAGCGAAAUGCGAUACGUAGUGUGAAUUGCAGAAUUCCGUGAAUCAUCGAAUCUUUGAACGCACAUUGCGCUCGAGGCUUCGGCCGAGAGCAUGUCUGCCUCAGCGUCGGGUUAAUAUCACAUCCUUCUUCCCCUGUGGAACAAGUGGCGUGGAUCUGGUUGUUCCAGCGUGGUGGACCUGGAUGCUUAACAGCAUCCAAGUCCGAUCAUGCCUGCUGGAUCAGCUGAAGUGCAGAGGCUAACCAAGGACCCGUUAAGGGCCGCAACUGGGUAGGCAUUCACAGCUUCGGCUGCCUUGCUAUUUCUUAGUUGUUGGUCUGGGACCAUGUGUGAGCCCUCAAACAGGAACCUAUUAACCUAUUUUCUCGACCUGAGCUCAGGCAAGAACACCCGCUGAACUUAAGCAUAUCA
Molecule: unclassified non-coding RNA, 747 nt
Filed under: Chlorococcum diplobionticum
Lineage: Eukaryota; Viridiplantae; Chlorophyta; Chlorophyceae; Chlamydomonadales; Chlorococcaceae
Description: sequence contains 18S rRNA gene, ITS1, 5.8S rRNA gene, ITS2, 28S rRNA gene
Rfam family: 5.8S ribosomal RNA (bases 292-445)
Source: RNAcentral